Molecule: non-coding RNA, 23 nt
Filed under: Arabidopsis thaliana (thale cress)
Lineage: Eukaryota; Viridiplantae; Streptophyta; Magnoliopsida; Brassicales; Brassicaceae
Source: RNAcentral
CUAGUUUUCCGGUAUUCCGAAUA